Molecule: ribosomal RNA, 463 nt
Filed under: uncultured bacterium
Lineage: Bacteria
Description: partial 16S ribosomal RNA
Rfam family: Bacterial small subunit ribosomal RNA
Source: RNAcentral
GAUGAACGCUGACAGAAUGCUUAACACAUGCAAGUCUUUGGUGAAGCUGUGCUUGCACAGCCUAGCCAGGGCGGACGGGUGAGUAACGCGUCAGGAACUUGCCCUGCAGUCAGGGAUAACAGACGGAAACGAAUGCUAAGACCUGGUAAAGUCAGGCGGACUCAUGUCCAGCCUGAUGAAAAGAGAUGCUGCAGGAGAGCCUUGCGUCCUAUUAGCUUGUUGGUGGGGUAACGGCCCACCAAGGCAAUGAUCGGUAGCCGGCCUGAGAGGGUGGACGGCCACAAGGGGACUGAGAGACGGCCCUUACGCCUACGGGAGGCAGCAGUGGGGAAUAUUGGACAAUGGGGGCAACCCUGAUCCAGCUAUUCUGUGUGCACGAUGAAGGUUUUCGGAGUGAAAAGUGCUUUCAGCAGGGAAGAAAAAAAUGACGGUACCUGCAGAAGAAGCGACGGCUAAAUACGUG